Molecule: ribosomal RNA, 301 nt
Filed under: uncultured bacterium
Lineage: Bacteria
Description: partial 16S ribosomal RNA
Rfam family: Bacterial small subunit ribosomal RNA
Source: RNAcentral
CAGCAGCCGCGGGAAUACGAAGGGGGCUAGCGUUGUUCGGAUUUACUGGGCGUAAAGCGCACGUAGGCGGACUUUUAAGUCAGGGGUGAAAUCCCGGGGCUCAACCCCGGAACUGCCUUUGAUACUGGAAGUCUUGAGUAUGGUAGAGGUGAGUGGAAUUCCGAGUGUAGAGGUGAAAUUCGUAGAUAUUCGGAGGAACACCAGUGGCGAAGGCGGCUCACUGGACCAUUACUGACGCUGAGGUGCGAAAGCGUGGGGAGCAAACAGGAUUAGAUACCCGCGUAGUCCCUGUCUCUUAUAA